Podarcis lilfordi (Lilford's wall lizard) is the source of this 69-nucleotide non-coding RNA. Lineage: Eukaryota; Metazoa; Chordata; Lepidosauria; Squamata; Lacertidae. The record is from the annotation of a GenBank genome assembly.
GCUGUAGCUCAGUGGUACAGCAUCUGCCUUGGGUGCAGAAGGUCACAAGUUUGAUCCCUGGCAUCUCCA